GACGAACGCUGGCGGCGUGCUUAACACAUGCAAGUCGAGCGGUAAGGCCCUUUCGGGGGUACACGAGCGGCGAACGGGUGAGUAACACGUGGGUGACCUGCCCUCAGCUCUGGGAUAAGCCUGGGAAACCGGGUCUAAUACUGGAUAUGACUCCAUGACGCAUGUUGUGGGGUGGAAAGCCUUGUGCGGCUGAGGAUGGGCCCGCGGCCUAUCAGCUUGUUGGUGGGGUGAGGCCUACCAAGGCGACGACGGGUAGCCGGCCUGAGAGGGCGACCGGCCACACUGGGACUGAGACACCGGCCCAGACUCCUACGGGAGGCAGCAGUGGGGAAUCUUGCGCAAUGGGCGAAAGCCUGACGCAGCGACGCCGCGUGAGGGAUGAC
RNAcentral lists this ribosomal RNA (383 nucleotides) under uncultured bacterium. RNAcentral's name for it is "bacterial SSU rRNA". It matches the Rfam family "Bacterial small subunit ribosomal RNA", at positions 28 to 412 of the family's 1533-position model. The record is from RNAcentral.